CCUACGGGUGGCAGCAGUGAGGAAUAUUGGUCAAUGGCCGAGAGGCUGAACCAGCCAAGUCGCGUGAGGGAAGACGGCCCUACGGGUUGUAAACCUCUUUUGUCGGGGAGCAAAGCGAGUCACGUGUGACUCAUUGAGAGUACCCGAAGAAAAAGCAUCGGCUAACUCCGUGCCAGCAGCCGCGGUAAUACGGAGGAUGCGAGCGUUAUCCGGAUUUAUUGGGUUUAAAGGGAGCGUAGAUGGGUUGUUAAGUCAGUUGUGAAAGUUUGCGGCUCAACCGUAAAAUUGCAAUUGAUACUGGCAGCCUUGAGUACAGUUGAGGUAGGCGGAAUUCGUGGUGUAGCGGUGAAAUGCUUAGAUAUCACGAAGAACUCCGAUUGCGAAGGCAGCCUACUAAACUGCCACUGACAUUGAUGCUCGAAAGUGUGGGUAUCAAACAGGAUUAGAUACCCUUGUAGUC
RNAcentral lists this ribosomal RNA (460 nucleotides) under uncultured bacterium. RNAcentral describes it as "partial 16S ribosomal RNA". It matches the Rfam family "Bacterial small subunit ribosomal RNA", at positions 338 to 795 of the family's 1533-position model. The record is from RNAcentral.